RNAcentral lists this ribosomal RNA (407 nucleotides) under uncultured bacterium. RNAcentral's name for it is "partial 16S ribosomal RNA". It matches the Rfam family "Bacterial small subunit ribosomal RNA", at positions 28 to 526 of the family's 1533-position model. The record is from RNAcentral.
GACGAACGCUGGCGGCGUGCCUAAUACAUGCAAGUAGAACGCAGUUGCGAACGGGUGAGUAACGCGUAGGUAACUUCCUCAUAGCGGGGGAUAACUAUUUGAAACGAUAGCUAAUACCGCAUACUGUGAGCUGGACCUGCGUUGUAUUAGGUAGUUGUGGAGGUAAAGGGUCACCAAGGCCCCUAUACAUAGCCGGCCUGAGAGGGUGGACGGCCAAAAUGGGACUGAGACAAGGCCCAGAAUCCUACGGGAGGCAGCAAGAGGGAAGCUGCGGCAAUGGACGGAAGUCUGAACGAGCAACGGCGCGGGGGUGAAGAAGGUUUUCGGAUCGUAAAGCUCUGUUGUGAGAGGAGCGGUAACUAAAGAGAAAGGGACGGCUAACUACGUGCCAGCAGCCGCGGUAAUUC